RNAcentral lists this ribosomal RNA (1125 nucleotides) under Escherichia fergusonii. Its description in RNAcentral is "bacterial SSU rRNA". It matches the Rfam family "Bacterial small subunit ribosomal RNA", at positions 89 to 1181 of the family's 1533-position model. Lineage: Bacteria; Pseudomonadati; Pseudomonadota; Gammaproteobacteria; Enterobacterales; Enterobacteriaceae. The record is from RNAcentral.
UGACGAGUGGCGGACGUUUGAGUAAUGUCUGGGAAACUGCCUGAUGGAGGGGGAUAACUACUGGAAACGGUAGCUAAUACCGCAUAACGUCGCAAGACCAAAGAGGGGGACCUUCGGGCCUCUUGCCAUCAGAUGUGCCCAGAUGGGAUUAUCUUGUAGGUGGGGUAACGGCUCACCUAGGCGACGAUCCCUAGCUGGUCUGAGAGGAUGACCAGCCACACUGGAACUGAGACACGGUCCACACUCCUACGGGAGGCAGCAGUGGGGAAUAUUGCACAGUGGGCGCAAGCCUGAUGCACCCAUGCCGCGUGUAUGAAGAACGCCUUCGGGUUGUAAAGUACUUUCAGCGGGGAGGAAGGGAGUAAAGUUAAUACCUUUGCUCAUUGACGUUACCCGCAAAAAACGCACCGGCUAACUCCGUGCCAGCAGCCGCGGUAAUACGGAGGGUGCAAGCGUUACUCGGAAUUACUGGGCGUAAGGCGCACGCAGGCUGUUUGUUAAGUCAGAUGUGAACUCCCCGGGCUCACCCUGGGAACUGCAUCUGAUACUGGCAAGCUUGACUCUCGUAGAGGGGGGUAGAAUUCCAGGUGUAGCGGUGAAAUGCAUAGAUAUCUGGAAGAAUACCGGUGGCGAACGCCCCCCGUGGACGAACACUGACGCUCAUGUGCAAAAGCGUGGGGAGCAAACAAGAUUACAUACCCUGGUACUCCACGCCAUACACGAUGUCGACUUGGCCGUUGUGCCCUUGAGGCGUGUCUUCCAGAUCUAACGCGUUAACUCCACCGCCUGGGGGAGUACACCCGCAAGGUUAAAAACUCAGAUGAAUUUGACGGGCGCCCCGCACAAGCGGUGGGAGCGUGUUGUUUUAUUUCGAUGCCACCCCAAAAAACCUUACCGGGUUCUUGACCUCCUUGGGAUUUUUUCAAAAAAUGAAAAUGGUGCCUUUCGGGAAACCGUGAAAACGGGUGCCUGCAUGGCUUUUCCUCCUCCUCCGUGUUGCCAAAUGUUGGGGUUGGCCUCCGGAAACGGCCGGCAACCCUUUUUUCUUUUGGUGGCCGGCCGGUCCGGGCCGGGAAACCCAAAGGAAAACUGCCCAUGGAAAAACCGGGGAGGAAGGGGGGGAAA